CGAGGGUGUCUUCCAAGCAUUCUAUGUAUGCUUGGCUCCAUUGAGGGAAGGGUUUUUGGCAGGUUGUAGGCAUUUUGUUUCUCUAGAUGGAUGCUUCUGUGUAUGGAGGGCAAUUAUUAUGUGCCGUUGGGAUAGAUGCAAAUGAUUGCAUCUAUCCCAUAUCUUGGGCUAUGGUUAGUAAAGAGAACAAAGAUAAUUGGAAGUGGUUCUUGGAGAUCUUGGCACAAGAUUUGAGGAUA
This is a long non-coding RNA of Dioscorea cayenensis subsp. rotundata (Guinea yam), 239 nucleotides long. RefSeq lists it as uncharacterized. Lineage: Eukaryota; Viridiplantae; Streptophyta; Magnoliopsida; Dioscoreales; Dioscoreaceae. The transcript is spliced from 3 exons. The record is from RefSeq and is a predicted model, not a curated record.